RNAcentral lists this long non-coding RNA (553 nucleotides) under Nicotiana benthamiana. Its description in RNAcentral is "long non-coding RNA (NBEN_LNC023190)". Lineage: Eukaryota; Viridiplantae; Streptophyta; Magnoliopsida; Solanales; Solanaceae. The record is from RNAcentral.
AUAUAUAUGUUCCUUUCUGUUUUGAUAUGUGAAAAAGAAAAAGAGCAGUGGAAAGGAAACUUUUAAACACUGAUAAACACCAAGAACUCUAGAAUUUUUUUUUACCUCUCAAAACUUCCAAAAAAAUUCUCUCAAAAAAACUUCUACAAAAAAUCUCCCAAAAUUAAUUCAGAGCACGCCUUUUAUAUCCAAACCUAGAAGGUUCCUCAAAAAUCAGAAAAUAUUCCCCUCUAGAACGAAUUCGGACAGAUGGAGAGAGGGGAUCGAUCAAAAAUCAAUCCACGGUGGAAUUCAUUCUCAAAAGCACAUGGGAGACGAAAAAUCUGUUAGAUGUUGUUAGAAUCUUGCUAACAAGGAGCGAGGGGGAACGUGUGAGUAAUUUUGUGCUCACUCGCUUGGGAUUUGGCGUGUUAAACACGACUUAGAUGAAGAAUAAGAUGAGCAAUGCGCGUUUUGGUUAGGGAUUUAAGACUUCGGAUCUCUGUGUGUAUUAGUGCAUGUAUUUGUGGAGCAGGUCGGGUUAGGGAAAUGGGUCGGCGAUGGGUUGGAGCGG